RNAcentral lists this unclassified non-coding RNA (256 nucleotides) under Thyronectria strobi. Its description in RNAcentral is "partial contains 5.8S ribosomal RNA, internal transcribed spacer 2, and large subunit ribosomal RNA". Lineage: Eukaryota; Fungi; Ascomycota; Sordariomycetes; Hypocreales; Nectriaceae. The record is from RNAcentral.
CGCACAUUGCGCCCGCUAGCAUUCUAGCGGGCAUGCCUGUCCGAGCGUCAUUUCAACCCUCGAACCUCCGGGUUUGGUGUUGGGGUCCUCUGCUGCCCAGGCGGCAGAGCCCCGAAAUACAGUGGCGGGCCUCUCGGUAUCCCGAACGUAGUAGUAUUUCUGUUCGUUCAGGGCGUGCCGGCGGUGUCUAGCCGUUAAACCCACUAAAUUUUAUAAGGUUGACCUCGGAUCAGGUAGGAAUACCCGCUGAACUUAA